Equus caballus (horse) is the source of this 774-nucleotide non-coding RNA. NCBI's taxonomy places the organism in Eukaryota, Metazoa, Chordata, Mammalia, Perissodactyla, Equidae. The record is from RefSeq and is a predicted model, not a curated record.
GGCGAGGGGGGAAUCUCAUAACUCCACCGGUCUCACAGCUACUGACCUUCAAUGAGGACAGGCUGAGCCUGGUCAGUAAUGGCCCCAUCACACGUCUAUUCCAGGUGCAGCGCUAAGCCCUGGAGGUCCUUUAUAUUCUCUAACUGGCACAACUGAUCCAAAAGGAUCUGCUGGCGGAUGGUCUUGACGUACUCAAAGCUGUCAAAGCAGCAGAUGUCGUAGACCAGGAUGUAGGCGUGGACGCUUCGGAGGCCCCUGCAGCAGGUGUCUGCCCACUCCUGCAACACCCCCAAGUCAGUGCCAAGGUCAGAGCAGCCAGGAGGGCUCCCCUAACCCUCAGCCAUCUCCAGCCAUAGACUGACAGCACUCUCACCUGCCACUGCACGCCAAGCCUUCCACACUCACCCAUCCCCAGGAGGCCAGGCCCAGGGCCGAAUGGAGGAGCUUCGUACUGUGGUUUCCCCAUUCUCAAACCAGGACAGGGCAGAUCACACUGCGUGACCUCCAGGGCCACUGCACUGUUCUGUGUACACCUAGAGCUGAGGUCUGCCUUGUCCCAUUUUGUUCUCCAAUCCAUCCAUCCAUCCAUCCAAUCCUUUGUUCAAGUACAUUUAUUAAGUGCCUCUAGAGCCAAGUCCUGAGCUAGUUGCUGUACCUGUUGAAAUCCUAUCUUCCAAGGCUCCAUUCAAAUGCCUCCUCCAUCUCAAAGAAGCCUUCCUGCAACCAAGGGACUACUCCCUUCAUCUCCUGUGUUCUAAGAAACCUUUUAUUAUA